Molecule: ribosomal RNA, 374 nt
Filed under: Panthera pardus (leopard)
Lineage: Eukaryota; Metazoa; Chordata; Mammalia; Carnivora; Felidae
Description: partial 16S ribosomal RNA
Rfam family: Bacterial large subunit ribosomal RNA
Source: RNAcentral
UUGGUGCCCUAAAUAGGGACUUGUAUGAAUGGCCACACGAGGGCUUUACUGUCUCUUACUUCCGAUCCGUGAAAUUGACCUUCCCGUGAAGAGGCGGGAAUAUGACAAUAAGACGAGAAGACCCUAUGGAGCUUUAAUUAACCGACCCAAAGAGAUCUUAACAACUAACCGAUAGGGACAACAAACCUCUACCGUGGGUCGACAAUUUAGGUUGGGGUGACCUCGGAGAAUAAAACAACCUCCGAGUGAUUUAAAUCUAGACUAACCAGUCGAAAGUACUACAUCACUUAUUGAUCCAAAAACUUGAUCAACGGAACAAGUUACCCUAGGGAUAACAGCGCAAUCCUAUUUUAGAGUCCAUAUCGACAAUAGGG